This 120-nucleotide ribosomal RNA is filed under the name Jaculus jaculus (lesser Egyptian jerboa). The record is from RNAcentral. Lineage: Eukaryota; Metazoa; Chordata; Mammalia; Rodentia; Dipodidae.
GUCUACGGCCAUACCACCCUGAACGUGCCCGAUCUCGUCUGAUCUCGGAAGCUAAGCAGGGUCGGGCCUGGUUAGUACUGGUUAGUACUUGGAUGGGAGAAUUAUAGCAUAUGGGAAACA